RNAcentral lists this ribosomal RNA (442 nucleotides) under uncultured bacterium. RNAcentral's name for it is "partial 16S ribosomal RNA". It matches the Rfam family "Bacterial small subunit ribosomal RNA", at positions 338 to 795 of the family's 1533-position model. The record is from RNAcentral.
CCUACGGGCGGCAGCAGUGGGGAAUAUUGGGCAAUGGGCGCAAGCCUGACCCAGCAACGCCGCGUGAAGGAAGAAGGCUUUCGGGUUGUAAACUUCUUUUCUGGGGGACGAACAAAUGACGGUACCCCAGGAAUAAGCCACGGCUAACUACGUGCCAGCAGCCGCGGUAAUACGGAGAUGGCAAGCGUUAUCCGGAUUUAUUGGGGGUAAAGGGAGUGUAGGGGGGAAUGCAAGUCAGAUGUGAAAACUCAGGGCUCAACCCUGAGCCUGCAUUUGAAACUGUGUUUCUUGAGUGCAGUAGAGGCAGUCGGAAUUCCGUGUGUAGCGGUGAAAUGCGUAGAUAUACGGAGGAACACCAGUGGCGAAGGCGGAUUGCUGGACAGUAACUGACGCUGAGGCGCGAAAGUGUGGGGAGCAAACAGGAUUAGAUACCCUGGUAGUC